This 1468-nucleotide long non-coding RNA is filed under the name Bos mutus (wild yak). RNAcentral's name for it is "lncRNA (ENSBMUG00000023289.1)". Lineage: Eukaryota; Metazoa; Chordata; Mammalia; Artiodactyla; Bovidae. The record is from RNAcentral.
GUUAGUGACAAAGCUGAUUAGCAAGCCAUUGUUCAGCACCAUGUGUUUAAAGCCUGUGAACUAAUUUCAUAACACUACGCCUGUCGCCUCCUCCUUUCAGCCUGUGUUUUUCAGUCUUCCAAAGAAAGAUACUAGACUAGAUGAUCUCUUAGAUUCUUUCUAGUCCUAAAAUUUUAUUACCUAAUUCUUAUAUAAUACCAGUGUAACAUGAUAUGAUAAAGGUUCAGGAAUUAUCGAUGGCAUUUUACAGAAAUGGAAACUGAAGGCAGGGGGCGAGGGAUUUGCUUCAGAACCAUGGAUGCAGUGCCAGGGCCUGAAUCCUUCUAGAGCUCUGUCUUAUGAAGCACUGAGUAUUUGCUGCUCCUGGGUAGAACUGCAGUGUCUUUCCCUUUAGUAAGCUGGUCUGUUUCCUCCCCCAGGCCUGCAGGAGAAAAAAAAAAAGAGUAUUAAUGUCAAGAUAUAAAUUAAAUGUUAGUGUACACUUAUUCCACUCACACAGCCCAUGAGGGUUUGACUCUCACAGUAUUGAAAGUAAGAAAAGUCAGUAGUGCUGAGACUGCCAGGGGCCAAGUAAGAAGGAGGCUAGAGGAGAAGUAAAACAGAUUUGAGCGGCUGGGGAUGCCUUUCUGUGUCUGUGGACUGGGAAUGGGGGUGGGGAGCUGAUUCCAAGGGCAUAAAGACAAGGUUGGCCUCAUCUCUUCCUCUCUGUUCUUGGCAAUAGCCAGUCUAGCUAGAAAGAGCAAUCUGUCAAGUCUAAUUAGAGUAGAAGAAAGUGAACAAUGAGCGCCCACCUCUAAAAUGACAGCCCAGUUUAGUGGUGUGGAGGAGCUUGGGAGGAGGCGUGCUUUGUCUGCUUGGAACUGGUUCCUUUAAAUAUGAAUCCCUUCUGAACUCAAACUGCAAAACAACUUAAACUGGAUUCUUACUUACUUCACUAGAAAUCUUCAGGUCCCCACGCCUUUGAACAUAGGCACAUCCAGCAAAAGCAGAUGAGAACCUGGCUCUGUUUCAAAGACGCUUCUCCUGGUUUAGAGAGCGGGUCGCGAAAAUUCAGCUGCGGCGCCAUCUGCUGGAAGCGCCGCGACGCUGCAAGGAGCUUGCCGGGGAAGGAGGAGACGAGUUGCAGGUGAACGUCCUUUGCCCAGAGAAGGCUCUGACACCAAGGUAACAUUCAAAUGCAGUCCGCUUGUCUAAAAAGAGACCAAGUUGACCCUGCAAGAAAAUGGCCUCAGUUUUGAGGAGCCCUGCGGCCUAAAUGAACUGGCAUAUGGUGUAUGGGUGUUAGGAAAACCUGGGGCUUCCCGAGAAGAGGAGGCUUAAUUCAUUUCAUUACCCAGCCGCCAGCCCUGCCAUAUUCUCCGGUGCAACGCUGAAAACUAAAACCGUAUUUCCCAUCAGUGCACAUGAGGAGGUAUAAGGUGCAGAAGUCACAAUGCAUUUGUUCUGUUGAAUGGAACUGAUUUUGCUG